GUCUUGUUAGCUCAGCUGGUAGAGCAUCUCACUUUUAAUGAGGAUGCCGAUGGUUCGAAUCCAUCACAGGACACCA
Molecule: transfer RNA, 76 nt
Filed under: Sulfurimonas sp.
Lineage: Bacteria; Pseudomonadati; Campylobacterota; Epsilonproteobacteria; Campylobacterales; Sulfurimonadaceae
Also listed under: 2 other names
Description: tRNA-Lys
Rfam family: tRNA
About the family: Transfer RNA (tRNA) molecules are approximately 80 nucleotides in length. Their secondary structure includes four short double-helical elements and three loops (D, anti-codon, and T loops). Further hydrogen bonds mediate the characteristic L-shaped molecular structure. tRNAs have two regions of fundamental functional importance: the anti-codon, which is responsible for specific mRNA codon recognition, and the 3' end, to which the tRNAs corresponding amino acid is attached (by aminoacyl-tRNA synthetases). tRNAs cope with the degeneracy of the genetic code in two manners: having more than one tRNA (with a specific anti-codon) for a particular amino acid; and 'wobble' base-pairing, i.e. permitting non-standard base-pairing at the 3rd anti-codon position.
Source: RNAcentral